AAGUUUAAUCUCCAGAGUUCAUAUUUAAAACGGAAAGUCCCAGUUUUCCCCUCCCUGCAUCUAAUUCUCUCUUGCGCGCGCUCGACUGGCCAGCAAGAACGACGCUGCAACAGGAUCCUUCUGCACACGUUUAUUGGGAGAGCUUGAUUGUAGAGGCGAAAAGACCCUGAGCCCAGAACUGGUGCUGCUUACAUAGGCCUAGGAGAGGCGUGUCUCACAUCUGAUUGGUUAGCUUGUCUUGGCAAAAGAACCUUCACUGCCUAUGUAUGUGUGGUGGCCAGCAGUAGCCAACUGCCACUCUGCAACUGCCACUCUGCAACAGCUUCUCACAAUUCUCUAUUGCAGCUCUGUGAUGUUCCUCUCAGUGCCUCUCUCCUGCACCCAUCUGGGGACUCAAGCCCUCCUUGGACUCUAUGUUCUUCAAUUAUCAAGAAGAUGUUUUGUUUCCUAGCCUUCAAAUUAUCUUUUAUUCAGUCUGUCUUGUGCGCUUUGUCUCAUUACAUGUUGGGCACAGGCAGACUCUGCCCUUGGAGAUGAGCUCUGCCAUAAGGAAGUUAUAUCCAGCUCAGAAGCUUUGGAUUCCUAGACUAAAGCUGGACUUUCAGGCAGCUGGCAGAACCACUCUUGACUGCUGGGCAUCCUUGCCAACCAUCCAUAGCUGUGGACAUCUCACAGAGAAAAUAGGAAGGACUUCAUAGCAGGUACCGUGAUAGUCACAAAGCAUCCGUGAUGGGUACCCAAAGUCAAUGUGAAUACAUGCAACAGUGAGGAUGGCGCCAUAACCAAGUACCAUGCAUGGGCCAGUCUCUGAUGUCCCGUAGAGAUGCUAAGAAGUGUGAGUGCCUUGUUUACUCUGUAAUGGACAAGAAGGACACAUGUACAGUUCCCCAAACCCCUGGAUACUCUGGCCUUGAAACUAAAAUGUUAGGAUGAGCAUUGCAAAGGACUCUUUUAGGAGGUUCAUUUUCCUAAACAGCUCAUCUAGGUCACCUUAAUUAUCCAUGGGGUGCCAAUUAUUGUAGGUGCCAUGGUCCCAUAAGGAAUACAUAUUUCUUGUCCUAUACCUGAUGGACUCAUAGCCUCUCAGAAGCUCCCUGUUAACAAGGAGUGAUCACAGAGCCUGUAACUCUGGUUCUCUGGGCCAGUGAGACAGUUCAGCACGUAGAGGCACUUGUGGUGCAAGUCUGAAAAUGUAAGUUAGAUCGUUGGACCCCUCAUAAAAGUAGACAGAGAAGAUUGACUCCACAGCAUUGUCUUCUGACUCUACACACUGCUGUGGCAUACCUGCUCUCACUCACAUCAAGUGUGCAACACAACCGAGCAAGGAUGAAAACAAGCAGCUCUGCUCUAUAGACCUUCCUGGUAUGAUGGGUGUGUUUCCUAUCUACACAGGCCAAGACAUUGCCAGCAGCCACAUGUGGCUAAGAAGCAUUGCAAAAGCAGCUAGUAGGACUGAAGAGCUUCAUUCAUAACUUCAUUUCACUUUAUUAAUUAAAAUUUUAAAUCCAAGGACUUGCCUAUAACUGUUGGCUCUGCUGCCGGCUACAAGAGGAUGUGAGGCCAUCUACAGGCAAUAGCAGGGGUUGUAAGUGGGUACAAUGCGAUACCCCCACUGCCAGAGAAACACUGAUGGGAGUAAAAUGUUUCUGGGGGAGGGAGCCACAACUCUCCCUUCGCUAAGUCCCUUUUCCUGCUAGAAUAUUCAAGAAGCUGGGCUACAAAAACCCAGAGAUGUGUAGGGAAAGAAUUGUUUACACAUAUUCAAGUCAAUACAAAAACUAAGAAUAGCAGGAAGGGCUGGGAUACACAACCAGCAGGCCUGGAGAACAGAGCCUAGAAACCCUUCAUUUUCCUUAAGUCCUACAGGCACUUGACACUGUAGGAGCAACAAAGGCCACAAUUAAACCCCAGUGUGUACACACGCAGGGAUGUACAUGAACUGAAACCUAGCUUGUGCUCCAUUUCAGAAGGCUCUACUGGGAGGCCAUCUCUCUAGGAGAAAUGCCACUGUAGUAAGACCCUCUAUUUUGUUUUGACAUUUUCUUUCCUAGGAGGCUGAGCCAGAACUGAAGGUAGCCUUCCCUUCCAUCACCAGGUAAAGCUGGGUACCAGGCAAUUAGCAUCUUGCCAGCUCUGGAAUUCUGAAAGAGCAAGUGGAGUUUUCGUCUGCUUAUAUGUACUGACCUCAGGUUACCUGAGAUUUCAGAAGCCAGUUAAAGGAAGGAAGCCUGGGUAUCUAGGAGACACUGCUGUGGGGCAUGCAUAUAUCCUAGGCAAGCACAGCACAGCAGAGAAACUAUAAACAGUUGGGGAGUGAGGGUCAUUGGAUUUACUGGUUCCUACCUUAAACCUGUAGGAGUAUCCUUGAUCUUUAUAACACAGCCUACUGUCUGCUCACUCCCUAGAGAGACAUGUUCAGGAUCAUCAAUGAUUCACCUUCAACACUGCUUCCCCUCACAGACCAUCAAAUUAGUCAACAAAAGCUGCUGUUCACUUCUAGUCAUUUAUCUAGUUCUUCAUCCUGGUCCCAUUGACUCCAUGAGGUCCACCGGUACUAGGUCCCUACCUCUUCUCUCUCAUGCAUCUUCCCAGCUUGCCAGGGCACCAGGCUAAAAUUCAAACUGCAAGGUACCCACGCUUUUCUUUAAAAUCUUGGUUCUGUACACUCCGAAGGAUAAUGCCAGAUAAUGCCAACAUUUUUUUUUUCAAUGUGUCAAGGAAGGACUUGAAAAAAGCUGAUUCGGGUUCUUUCAUUUCUCAUGUCAAAUAAGCCAGCCUCCAUGGAUCAGGCUCCAGACCAGCCAUUCUCCCAACACUGCUGUGGAUGUAUGCCCCAAGCUUCACUUAAGCAUGCAUCAUCUCUUCUAGAUGAUUGCUCUUCUCUGACCCACAAGUCCUUGUUCACCAUCUGGGGCAACAUUCAGGGAUGUAGGUGGAGCCGGAAGCUAACAUUCCUUUGUUCCCACAGUUCUCUGGGAUAGAUGUGCUUCUUUGGUCCAAGGUGGUUCUGUCCUUUUGGCAGUGAGUUCUGAGUUCUGCAGCUCAGCCAACUGAGUGAUAUAGGUUUUGGAGAAAAGAUUGGAAUCACAGCUCAAUAAAUGGACAUGACUCAGCA
This is a long non-coding RNA of Mus spicilegus (steppe mouse), 3115 nucleotides long. The record is from Ensembl. NCBI's taxonomy places the organism in Eukaryota, Metazoa, Chordata, Mammalia, Rodentia, Muridae.